GACAGAGGGUGCAAACGUUGUUCGGAAUUACUGGGCGUAAAGCGCGUGUAGGCUGCUCCGCAAGUCGGAUGUGAAAGCCCUGGGCUCAACCUAGGAAGUGCAUUCGAUACUGCGGAGCUGGAGUCCUGGAGAGGAAGGCGGAAUUCUCGGUGUAGAGGUGAAAUUCGUAGAUAUCGAGAGGAACACCGGUGGCGAAGGCGGCCUUCUGGACAGUGACUGACGCUGAGACGCGAAAGCCAGGGGAGCGAACGGG
Molecule: ribosomal RNA, 253 nt
Filed under: uncultured bacterium
Lineage: Bacteria
Description: partial 16S ribosomal RNA
Rfam family: Bacterial small subunit ribosomal RNA
Source: RNAcentral